This is a non-coding RNA of Avibacterium paragallinarum JF4211, 87 nucleotides long. Lineage: Bacteria; Pseudomonadati; Pseudomonadota; Gammaproteobacteria; Pasteurellales; Pasteurellaceae. The record is from Rfam.
GAUCGGGUGGCGUUUCGUACAUACAAUACCGUAAGGAAAAACGAAAGGCUGACUUUAGGCAGUGUUGAAGCACCCGAUCGCCCUAUC